GAGAGAGAGAGUUUAGAAGGAGAGAGAGAGAGGUUAGGAGGAGAGAGAGAGAGAGGUUAGGAGGAGAGAGAGAGGUUAGGAGGAGAGAGAGAGAGAGUUUAGAAGGAGAGAGAGAGGUUAGGAGGAGAGAGAGAGUUAGGAGGAGAGAGAGAGAGAGAGAGAGAGAGAGAGAGAGGUUAGGAGGAGAGAGAGAGAGUUUAGAAGGAGAGAGAGAGAGGUUAGAAGGAUAGCUAGAGACAGAGAAACAUACAUUUCUAGGUUAUUCUUUCCUUCAUAUCCUCCAGGAAAACACAGACAGGAGAACACUAAAUCUUAAUUGCAUCGCUCCAAUAAUGGCAGCUGACAGAGAAGCCUGCAGUCAGACAACACAAAC
Long non-coding RNA from Oncorhynchus tshawytscha (Chinook salmon), 373 nucleotides. NCBI's taxonomy places the organism in Eukaryota, Metazoa, Chordata, Actinopteri, Salmoniformes, Salmonidae. The record is from Ensembl.